GAGGUGGGGAAGGGAAGGCGGGGGUGAGGGGGAAGAGGAGCAGCCGCUUUCACUGCCCGGGGAUCUUUCCUUGCAGGAGCGGGUGCUGGUGGUUCUCCGCCACACAGCUCUGGGCAACCGACUGCUCCACCCGGUCGCCUGGGGCAGCGCGGUUGGGUCACCACCUGUCAUUUUACUCCAAACCACCCCGGCUCCCGCUUGGAGGCCCCUUCCUCUCCCCGAGGGCGAUCAGUCAGGCGCAGCGUGAUGACUUCAGAUUCCUAGAAGGGGUGUGCUGCAGUCAGGGAACCAGGUCCUAAAAUACCGAGUGCUAACCCCCUGACCGCUCCACUUCGCUUUCCCCCUCAGAGCCAAAGCAAUGAGAUAAGGAGCCAUGUGGUGUGUGGACUCUCCAGAUGAAGACAGCAAUCCAGGCACAUUACAGAAGGCUAAAGUGCAAGCCACCGGGAUCACAGAGGGAUGCGGAUCUCUGGGCCAGAGGCCAGAAAAUUUUUAAUUGAGGAAAACUCUCCUUAAAGAUGCUCAGAUGAAAUUCUGCUAAAUGGAAGAUUUCUUCAACAACUAUCUUCAUGACUCCUUCGAAUGUUUCCCCAAACUUAGAUGCAAGAUUGUCCACCUCUUCAGUACACCUCUUGUACACCUCUCAUCUAAUUAGCAAUAAAUAUAUCCAAUUAAAAAUCAUACUAAAAAUA
Bubalus bubalis (water buffalo) is the source of this 692-nucleotide long non-coding RNA. RefSeq lists it as uncharacterized. The record is from RefSeq and is a predicted model, not a curated record. Lineage: Eukaryota; Metazoa; Chordata; Mammalia; Artiodactyla; Bovidae. The transcript is spliced from 4 exons.